GUGAGGAAUAUUGCGCAAUGGAGGCAACUCUGACGCAGCCAUGCCGCGUGCAGGAAGAAGGCGCUACGCGUUGUAAACUGCUUUUAACCGGGAAGAAACCCCAGGACGUGUCCUGGGUUGACGGUACCGGAGGAAUAAGCACCGGCUAACUUCGUGCCAGCAGCCGCGGUAAUACGAAGGGUGCAAGCGUUAUCCGGAUUCAUUGGGUUUAAAGGGUGCGUAGGCGGAGCGUUAAGUCAGUGGUGAAAUCCUGCAGCUUAACUGUAGACUUGCCAUUGAUACUGGGGCUCUUGAGUGCGCUUGAAGUGGGCGGAAUGUGCCGUGUAGCGGUGAAAUGCUUAGAUAUGGCACAGAACACCAAUUGCGAAGGCAGCUCACUAAGGCGAUACUGACGCUGAGGCACGAAAGCGUGGGGAUCGAACAGGAUUAGAAACCCGGGUAGUCC
RNAcentral lists this ribosomal RNA (445 nucleotides) under uncultured bacterium. RNAcentral's name for it is "partial 16S ribosomal RNA". It matches the Rfam family "Bacterial small subunit ribosomal RNA", at positions 354 to 796 of the family's 1533-position model. The record is from RNAcentral.